GGGUCGAUAGCUCAGUUGGUAGAGCAACAGCCUUUUAAGCUGAUGGUCCCGGGUUCAAGUCCCGGUCGACCCACCA
Molecule: transfer RNA, 76 nt
Filed under: Candidatus Altimarinota bacterium
Lineage: Bacteria; Candidatus Altimarinota
Description: tRNA-Lys
Rfam family: tRNA
About the family: Transfer RNA (tRNA) molecules are approximately 80 nucleotides in length. Their secondary structure includes four short double-helical elements and three loops (D, anti-codon, and T loops).
Source: RNAcentral